CAAGAAGAGCAUUCCAUUGGCUUUGCUGUGUUACUGUGCCAUUGUCUCAACAGACAGGCAAAAACUCUACCUUGGUUUCUCAGGAAAUGGAAAUAAGUGGUGAGGUUGGAGUUUCCUGCUUCCAAGAAAAUUUUUUGGGCACUUGGAUAAAAUGCUACGCCAAGUCUCACAUCCUGACAGGAGGUUCAGGCCCAGCAGUUUCUCUCAGAAGGAGAAGCAAUGAAAAUAUAAAUAAGUCACAAAAUGGUCAAAAGGAAGAGGAAGGAAGCAAACGACAAGAAGGACAAAAAUAAAGGGUGGCU
Molecule: long non-coding RNA, 302 nt
Filed under: Fukomys damarensis (Damara mole-rat)
Lineage: Eukaryota; Metazoa; Chordata; Mammalia; Rodentia; Bathyergidae
Description: lncRNA (ENSFDAG00000028994.1)
Source: RNAcentral